GACAAACUGGAGGAAGGCGGGGAUGACGUCAAGUCAUCAUGGCCCUUACGGCCAGGGCUACACACGUGCUACAAUGGUCGGUACAAAGGGUUGCUACCUCGCGAGAGGAUGCUAAUCUCAAAAAGCCGAUUGUAGUCCGGAUCGCAGUCUGCAACUCGACUGCGUGAAGUCGGAAUCGCUAGUAAUCGCGGAUCAGAAUGCCGCGGUGAAUACGUUCCCGGGCCUUGUACACACCGCCCGUCACACCAUGGGAGUUUGUUGCACCAGAAGUAGGUAGUCUAACCGCAAGGAGGACGC
RNAcentral lists this ribosomal RNA (297 nucleotides) under Acinetobacter schindleri. Its description in RNAcentral is "partial 16S ribosomal RNA". It matches the Rfam family "Bacterial small subunit ribosomal RNA", at positions 1157 to 1453 of the family's 1533-position model. Lineage: Bacteria; Pseudomonadati; Pseudomonadota; Gammaproteobacteria; Moraxellales; Moraxellaceae. The record is from RNAcentral.